UGUGGCACUAUGAGAUUGUGACACAUCAUCACUUGAAAAUUAAAAAUUUAUAUAAAUUUCCAAGUAAUGAUGUGAUACAAUCUUAUAGUGUCAC
Molecule: non-coding RNA, 94 nt
Organism: Gossypium raimondii (Peruvian cotton)
Lineage: Eukaryota; Viridiplantae; Streptophyta; Magnoliopsida; Malvales; Malvaceae
Source: Rfam